CUUCGGGGUGCAGCAGGCGCGAAACCUUAGCAAUGUGCGAAAGCACGACUGGGUCAGUCCGAGUGAUUCCUGAUAAAGGAGUCUUUUACUUGUCCUAAAAGCACAGGUGAAUAAGGGGUGGGCAAGUCUGGUGUCAGCCGCCGCGGUAAUACCAGCACCUCGAGUGGUCAGGACGUUUAUUGGGCCUAAAGCAUCCGUAGCCGGCUUUGCAAGUCUUCGGUUAAAUCCACCUGCUCAACAGAUGGGCCGCUGGAGAUACUACAAAGCUAGGGAGUGGGAGAGGCAGACGGUAUUCAGUGGGUAGGGGUAAAAUCCUCUGAUCCAUUGAGGACCACCAGUGGCGAAGGCGGUCUGCCAGAACACGUUCGACGGUGAGGGAUGAAAGCUGGGGGAGCAAACCGGAUUAGAUACCCGGGUAGUCCCAGCUGUAAACGAUGCAAACUCGGUGAUGCAUUGGCUUACGGCCAAUGCAGUGCCGCAGGGAAGCCGUUAAGUUUGCCGCCUGGGAAGUACGGACGCAAGUCUGAAACUUAAAGGAAUUGGCGGGGGAGCAC
RNAcentral lists this ribosomal RNA (554 nucleotides) under uncultured archaeon. RNAcentral describes it as "bacterial SSU rRNA". It matches the Rfam family "Archaeal small subunit ribosomal RNA", at positions 323 to 879 of the family's 1478-position model. The record is from RNAcentral.